RNAcentral lists this ribosomal RNA (252 nucleotides) under uncultured Staphylococcus sp. RNAcentral's name for it is "partial 16S ribosomal RNA". It matches the Rfam family "Bacterial small subunit ribosomal RNA", at positions 109 to 355 of the family's 1533-position model. Lineage: Bacteria; Bacillati; Bacillota; Bacilli; Caryophanales; Staphylococcaceae. The record is from RNAcentral.
AGUAACACGUGGAUAACCUACCUAUAAGACUGGAUAACUUCGGGAAACCGGAGCUAAUACCGGAUAAUAUUUUGAACCGCAUGGUUCAAAAGUGAAAGACGGUCUUGCUGUCACUUAUAGAUGGAUCCGCGCUGCAUUAGCUAGUUGGUAAGGUAACGGCUUACCAAGGCAACGAUGCAUAGCCGACCUGAGAGGGUGAUCGGCCACACUGGAACUGAGACACGGUCCAGACUCCUACGGGAGGCAGCAGCA